GGAGUUAGCCGGUGCUUCUUCUGUGAGUGAUGUCCUUCCUGCCGGCUAUUAACCCGCAGGCCUUCUUCCUCACUGAAAGUGCUUUACAACCCGAAGGCCUUCUUCACACACGCGGCAUGGCUGGAUCAGGGUUGCCCCCAUUGUCCAAUAUUCCCCACUGCUGCCUCCCGUAGGAGUCUGGGCCGUGUCUCAGUCCCAGUGUGGCUGAUCAUCCUCUCAGACCAGCUACGGAUCGUCGCCUUGGUGAGCCGUUACCUCACCAACCAGCUAAUCCGACAUAGGCUCAUCCGAUAGCGCGAGUCCCGAAGGUCCCCCGCUUUCCCCCGUAGGGCGUAUGCGGUAUUAGCCUGGGUUUCCCCCAGGUUAUCCCCCACUACCGGGCAGAUUCCUAUGCAUUACUCACCCGUCCGCCGCUCGCCACCAGGGAGCAAGCUCCCCGUGCUGCCGCUCGACUUGCAUGUGUUAGGCCUGCCGCCAGCGUUCAAUCUGAGCCAGGAUCAAACUCUGA
Molecule: ribosomal RNA, 508 nt
Filed under: uncultured bacterium
Lineage: Bacteria
Description: partial 16S ribosomal RNA
Source: RNAcentral